UUUUCUUUUAAUUUUUAAUUUUGUUUUUUUAGAUGGAAUUGUAAUUUUGUUAAGUUAGAUUUUUAGAUUUCUAAUUUUGUUAAGUUAGAUUUUUAGAUUUCUAGUUAGUUUGUUAAGUUAGAUUUGUAGUUAGGUUGUUAACUACCGUCCCGCCGUCGUGAUCGCCGCCGUCCCGCCGAGUAGCUACCGUGAGAGUCGCCUUGUAGCCGUCGUGAUCGCCGCCGAGUAGCCGCCGUGAUCGCCGCCGUCCUGCCGCCCAUCACAACGUAGUAGCUUAGGCACCGCCCGUGGUUCCGGUGAACCGCCUCCGCCGCCCUGACCGCCGCCGUCCCGCCUCCGCCGCCCUUAUCGCCGCCGUAGAAAUUCGUAGAAAUUCGUAGAAAUUCGUCAAAAUUCGUAGAAAUUCGUCAAAAUUCGUAGAAAUUCGUAGAAAUUUGUAGAAAUUCGUAGAAAUUCAUAGAAAUUCGUAGAAAUUUAUAGAAAUUCGUAGAAAUUCGUAGAAAUUCAUAGAAAUUCAUAGAAAUUCAUAGAAAUUCGUAGAAAUUCAUAGAAAUUCGUAGAAAUUCAUAGAAAUUCGUAGAAAUUCAUAGAAAUUCGUAGAAAUUCAUAGAAAUUCGUAGAAAU
RNAcentral lists this long non-coding RNA (624 nucleotides) under Setaria viridis. RNAcentral describes it as "long non-coding RNA (SVIR_LNC001275)". The record is from RNAcentral. Lineage: Eukaryota; Viridiplantae; Streptophyta; Magnoliopsida; Poales; Poaceae.